This 737-nucleotide ribosomal RNA is filed under the name Homarus americanus (American lobster). RNAcentral's name for it is "SSU rRNA". It matches the Rfam family "Eukaryotic small subunit ribosomal RNA", at positions 21 to 745 of the family's 1831-position model. The record is from RNAcentral. Lineage: Eukaryota; Metazoa; Arthropoda; Malacostraca; Decapoda; Nephropidae.
AGUCAUAUGCUUGUCUCAAAGAUUAAGCCAUGCAUGUGUAAGUACAAGCCGAUUUAAGGCGAAACCGCGAAUGGCUCAUUAAAUCAGCUAUGUUUCAUUGGAUCUGUAAACCCACUUACUUGGAUAACUGUGGCAAUUCUAGAGCUAAUACAUGCAAUUGGUCUCUGACCGCAAGGGAAGAGCGCUUUUAUUAGUUCAAAACUGGUCGGGCCCCGGUCCGUAACCCACCUGUGGUGAAUCUGAAUAACUUCGGGCUGAGCGCACGGUCUCCGCACCGGCGCCGCUUCUUUCAAGUGUCUGCCUUAUCAGCUUUCGAUUGUAGGUUAUGCGCCUACAAUGGCUAUAACGGGUAACGGGGAAUCAGGGUUCGAUUCCGGAGAGGGAGCCUGAGAAACGGCUACCACAUCUAAGGAAGGCAGCAGGCACGCAAAUUACCCACUCCCGGCACGGGGAGGUAGUGACGAAAAAUAACGAUGUGAGUCUCAUCCGAGGCCUCGCAAUCGGAAUGAGUACACUUUAAAUCCUUUAACGAGUAUCCAUUGGAGGGCAAGUCUGGUGCCAGCAGCCGCGGUAAUUCCAGCUCCAAUAGCGUAUAUUAAAGUUGUUGCGGUUAAAAAGCUCGUAGUUGGAUCUCAGUUCCGGACUGACGGUGCACCGCCCGGUGUUUACUGUCACGCUCCGAACAGCCGCCCCGCCGGCUCGCACGGGAUGCUCUUUGUCGAGUGUCCCGAGUGGCC